CCUACGGGUGGCUGCAGUGGGGAAUUUUGGACAAUGGGGGCAACCCUGAUCCAGCCAUGCCGCGUGCGGGAAGAAGGCCUUCGGGUUGUAAACCGCUUUCGGCCGGAACGAAAUCGCAUCUGUGAAUAGCGGGUGUGGAUGACGGUACCGGAAGAAGAAGCACCGGCUAACUACGUGCCAGCAGCCGCGGUAAUACGUAGGGUGCGAGCGUUAAUCGGAAUUACUGGGCGUAAAGCGUGCGCAGGCGGCCGCGUAAGCCAGAGGUGAAAUCCCCG
This 275-nucleotide ribosomal RNA is filed under the name uncultured bacterium. Its description in RNAcentral is "partial 16S ribosomal RNA". It matches the Rfam family "Bacterial small subunit ribosomal RNA", at positions 338 to 605 of the family's 1533-position model. The record is from RNAcentral.